UACAGUGGAGUCAAAUUUGGCCUCGUGUCAUCAUGGUGGGAGCUGGCCAAGAUGGCUGCCACAGCAAACACCAUUGCGCAUGGACUCUGGGUCCACUGCCUGGACUCAGGGAUAAGUUUGACCGCGGACAUAG
Cavia aperea (Brazilian guinea pig) is the source of this 133-nucleotide small nucleolar RNA. Lineage: Eukaryota; Metazoa; Chordata; Mammalia; Rodentia; Caviidae. The record is from Ensembl.